GAAACUGCGAAUGGCUCAUUAAAUCAGUUAUGGUUCCUUUGGUCGCUCGCUCCUCUCCUACUUGGAUAACUGUGGUAAUUCUAGAGCUAAUACAUGCCGACGGGCGCUGACCCCCUUCGCGGGGGGGAUGCGUGCAUUUAUCAGAUCAAAACCAACCCGGUCAGCCCCUCUCCGGCCCCGGCCGGGGGGCGGGCGCCGGCGGCUUUGGUGACUCUAGAUAACCUCGGGCCGAUCGCACGCCCCCCGUGGCGGCGACGACCCAUUCGAACGUCUGCCCUAUCAACUUUCGAUGGUAGUCGCCGUGCCUACCAUGGU
RNAcentral lists this ribosomal RNA (315 nucleotides) under uncultured eukaryote. Its description in RNAcentral is "partial Eukaryotic small subunit ribosomal RNA". It matches the Rfam family "Eukaryotic small subunit ribosomal RNA", at positions 83 to 350 of the family's 1831-position model. The record is from RNAcentral.